UACGUAGGGGGCAAGCGUUAUCCGGAUUUACUGGGUGUAAAGGGAGCGUAGUCGGUCUGACAAGUCAGAAGUGAAAGCCCGGGGCUCAACCUCGGGACUGCUUUUGAAACUGCCGGACUAGAUUGCAGGAGAGAUAAGUGGAAUUCCUAGUGUAGCGGUGAAAUGCGUAGAUAUUAGGAGGAACACCAGUGGCGAAGGCGGCUUACUGGACUGUAAAUGACGCUGAGGCUCGAAAGCGUGGGGAGCAAACAGG
Molecule: ribosomal RNA, 253 nt
Filed under: uncultured bacterium
Lineage: Bacteria
Description: partial 16S ribosomal RNA
Rfam family: Bacterial small subunit ribosomal RNA
Source: RNAcentral